GAUGCAACGCGAAGAACCUUACCUGGUCUUGACAUCCCGGAGACCCUUAGGAAACUAGGGGUGCUUCCAUCUGGAAGAAUCUGGAGACAGGUGCUGCAUGGCUGUCGUCAGCUCGUGUCGUGAGAUGUUGGGUUAAGUCCCGCAACGAGCGCAACCCUUGCCUUUAGUUGCCAGCAGUUCGGCUGGGCACUCUAAAGGGACUGCCGGUGGUUAAACCGGAGGAAGGUGGGGAUGACGUCAAGUCCUCAUGGCCUUUAUGACCAGGGCUACACACGUACUACAAUGGCCGAUACAAAGGGCAGCGACACUGCGAGGUGAAGCCAAUCCCGUAAAAUCGGUCUCAGUCCGGAUUGGAGUCUGCAACUCGACUCCAUGAAGUUGGAAUCGCUAGUAAUCGUGGAUCAGCAUGCCACGGUGAAUACGUUCCCGGGCCUU
Molecule: ribosomal RNA, 435 nt
Filed under: uncultured Desulfobulbus sp.
Lineage: Bacteria; Pseudomonadati; Thermodesulfobacteriota; Desulfobulbia; Desulfobulbales; Desulfobulbaceae
Description: bacterial SSU rRNA
Rfam family: Bacterial small subunit ribosomal RNA
Source: RNAcentral